RNAcentral lists this ribosomal RNA (509 nucleotides) under uncultured Psychrobacter sp. RNAcentral's name for it is "bacterial SSU rRNA". It matches the Rfam family "Bacterial small subunit ribosomal RNA", at positions 9 to 516 of the family's 1533-position model. Lineage: Bacteria; Pseudomonadati; Pseudomonadota; Gammaproteobacteria; Moraxellales; Moraxellaceae. The record is from RNAcentral.
GAGUUUGAUCCUGGCUCAGAUUGAACGCUGGCGGCAGGCUUAACACAUGCAAGUCGAGCGGUAACAUUGGUAGCUUGCUACCAGAUGACGAGCGGCGGACGGGUGAGUAAUACUUAGGAAUCUACCUAGUAGUGGGGGAUAGCACGGGGAAACUCGUAUUAAUACCGCAUACGACCUACGGGAGAAAGGGGGCAACUUGUUGCUCUCGCUAUUAGAUGAGCCUAAGUCGGAUUAGCUAGAUGGUGGGGUAAAGGCCUACCAUGGCGACGAUCCGUAGCUGGUCUGAGAGGUUGGUCCCCCACACUGGUACUGAGACACGGACCAGACUCCUACGGGAGGCAGCAGUGAGGAAUAUUGGUCAAUGGGCGGGAGCCUGAACCAGCCAAGUCGCGUGAAGGAAGAAGGAUCUAUGGUUCGUAAACUUCUUUUGCAGGGGAAUAAAGUGCAGGACUUGUCCUGUUUUGUAUGUACCCUGAGAAUAAGGAUCGGCUAACUCCGUGCCAGCAGCC